AACGAACGCUGGCGGCAUGCCUAACACAUGCAAGUCGAACGAGACCUUCGGGUCUAGUGGCGCACGGGUGCGUAACGCGUGGGAACCUGCCCUUAGGUUCGGAAUAACUCCCCGAAAGGGGUGCUAAUACCGGAUAAUGUCUUCGGACCAAAGAUUUAUCGCCUUUGGAUGGGCCCGCGUUGGAUUAGCUAGUUGGUAGGGUAAAAGCCUACCAAGGCGACGAUCCAUAGCUGGUCUGAGAGGAUGAUCAGCCACACUGGGACUGAGACACGGCCCAGACUCCUACGGGAGGCAGCAGUGGGGAAUAUUGGAAAAUGGGCGAGAGCGUGAUCCAGCAAUGCCGCGUGAGUGAUGAAGGCCUUAGGGUUGUAAAGCACUUUUACCCGGGAUGAUAAUGACAGUACCGGGAGAAUAAGCACCGGCUAACUCCGUG
This 433-nucleotide ribosomal RNA is filed under the name uncultured bacterium. Its description in RNAcentral is "partial 16S ribosomal RNA". It matches the Rfam family "Bacterial small subunit ribosomal RNA", at positions 29 to 507 of the family's 1533-position model. The record is from RNAcentral.